UCCUAAUCCCGUGUUAGCGAUUGCAGUGGCAUCCCGCCACUUUUUUGGCGGAUACAACGGAAAGCGCGCCCCUCU
Molecule: small RNA, 75 nt
Filed under: Ulvibacter sp. MAR_2010_11
Lineage: Bacteria; Pseudomonadati; Bacteroidota; Flavobacteriia; Flavobacteriales; Flavobacteriaceae
Description: Flavo-1 RNA
Source: RNAcentral